Molecule: long non-coding RNA, 541 nt
Filed under: Callithrix jacchus (white-tufted-ear marmoset)
Lineage: Eukaryota; Metazoa; Chordata; Mammalia; Primates; Cebidae
Description: lncRNA (ENSCJAG00000078531.1)
Source: RNAcentral
UUUUCAAGAUGUUACCCUUGAGAGAAAUUGGUUAAAGGUACCUAGCAUCUCUAUUAAUUCUCAUAACUUCAUGUGAAUUUACAGUAAUCUCAUAAUUUAAAAAUCGAAUUAAAAAAUAGAUACGGAAAAAACAUGUGUUCUAAUGUCCAAGCCACACCUUUGACCUUUAAAUCAAAAUCUCUAAGGGUGGGACUAGGUAUUAAUAUUUAUACAUUUUUUAGAUGAUUCCAGUGUGCAGCCAAGUUUGAAAACCAGUAUCUUAGCCGACUGUGUGGAGCAUGAGAAGCCAGCACAGGAAGCAGUGGAGAGCGCUGGGACUGUACACGUGGUCCAGCCUCAUGUUGAUCCCAUAAGGAGCUCUGGAGUGUGGAGAGCAUGCUGGAAGCCGGGAAAUCAGACUUUUCUACUCUGAAUCAGCCAGGUAUUGACUGAGGGGUUGUUUUUGGGUUUUUGAUGAAUGGGGAGGGGGCGUAACCUCUCAGGCACUGUCGGGCUAGCUGACUUCUGUCUGAUACAAGCAGUUCUCUGGAAAAGUAUCUGG